Long non-coding RNA from Ictalurus furcatus (blue catfish), 3371 nucleotides. RefSeq lists it as uncharacterized. The transcript has 3 exons. NCBI's taxonomy places the organism in Eukaryota, Metazoa, Chordata, Actinopteri, Siluriformes, Ictaluridae. The record is from RefSeq and is a predicted model, not a curated record.
UAUGUGCGAGAUGUUAUAAACCAGAGGUACAAAUGAAACUUUUUGGACCAAUGACCUCACUGAUUACAGUAAAGUAAUGCUAACAUUAAAUAUAAAAUUGUAUUUGUAUUGAAUUACACGGCUACCAUCGGGCCUAGGCAAAACAAAUAAAGCAAUACCUGUUAUUAGUAUAACAGGUCAGAACCGAGUGAAAAUGUUUCUCGGACCGGAGUUUACCUGCUAUAAAACAUUUCACCAUCACAAUAUAAACCUUCUGCUGUCUGUUUAAAUAUUAAGUCGUUUGAAAGAACGUCAUAAAAUCAAACAAGAUGUACGCAUGCGUGGUAAUAGUGGCGCGUGCACAGGGCGCGUGCACGUGGACCUUAUAAGACCCUCAGUCACUUCCGCUCGCUCUCUCUUUCAUUCCGGCUCUGUGGAGGACAGGCUGGCGUGCAGAAGCUAUUGAGGAUGGCAGAGUUGUGAAGGUGAACGCGCACACAGUUGAAAGGUGUGUUAACUCUUUGGGGACGUGAGCAUCGCCUGCGAGUUUCAGCAUGGUCAGGUUCACUAGUGUCCUCUUUCUCUCUUUACAGCAUGAAGGGAUUUGAUCUUACACACACGACUAAAAUACAGAAUCUGUAGAGUCUCAGCUUUCAGAUGAUCUCACAUGUGGAGAACAUAAACAUUUUAUAUAAUCUCUAAAUUGUAGAGAAGUUGUAGUUUGUUCCUGUGGUGAAAAGUGAAACGUGGUCUCCUCCUCCUGUUCACAUAUUAAUGACAUGUUAAUGUUUUUCAGGAGCAGGAUAGGUACAUGCUGAUGGAACACUCAGGUAGACUUUUGUGCAGGAACCUUGUGUGUUACAGUAAUUCUAGUAAACUGUGUACUGACUUGAUUGUGCACUAAAUCCCUACAAUACUACAUGUUCCUUUUAUUCUGAUGUUAAAGUGCUGAAAUAAGUGUGUUCUACAAUAAAGUGAUGAAAUGUGUGAAGUUGUAUCGUCGUUCUUGCUGACUUUUCUCCUUAUUUACACAUACUGUUGACCAUAUGAACUGUUGGAAUUUAAGUGGAUUUUUAAAAAAAAUAUUUUAAAAAUUUGCAUUAUCCACACCUGUAAGCUGAGCUUUAGAGUAAACUCUGGUGACUUUAAGUAACACAUUGGGAGUUGAGAGUGGAGUACUGGAGCCAAGGAGAGCUUUUUAAGUUCUCAAACACACACUGGCAGACAGGAGACCAAACUGCUCGAGUGCACCCGGGCUUUGAGGAUGAUUGGCUGAUGCCCAGUUACAUUAAUAUUCAGUUGGUGCAGGAUCUCCACAAAUGUUUGAGGUGAGCAAUUUGAGCUUCAGAAUAUCAAAAAUGGACAGAACUUGAGAGAAGGCCCCAAUGAUGGGAUUUGCUGCACUACAAUCCAUUACCUGGUACGUUAGUCAAUGGGUACUGGUUCCUCCAUUUAGAGCUAGGGGACGGCUACAAGGUUGAUGGUGAAGUAAUCAGGUGCAGAUUUUAUAGGGUUCAAUUUCCUGCUAUUAGGAUCUGAUAUAACUAGCUAACAAUCUUUCAUUAGAAAAUUGUAUGUUUUUGUCAAGUCUAGUGACCUGUCUGAUCAUGGGCCACAUUUUAAAACAAAAAAAAAAACCUCCCAACCUUGUAGAAUGACUUGAAGGGUUGGGCACAUGAGAUCCCAUGGCUAUCUGAUAGAUCUGCAAGAAUUGCAAGGAAAAGUGGAAUGAAAUUGCCAAAAGAAGACGUGCCAAGUUUGUGAACUCUUGUCUGAAAACACUGAGUGCUGAAUUCCCUAAAACCUUUCUCUUUGUUUUUCACUGGAAGUUUGUUGGGUGCUUUAUGACAUUAAAGAUGGAUAAAUUACAAAAAAAACCCCUCAUUUUUCAGGGGUGUGUAGACUUUUUAUAUAUGAAAUGACACUUUUUCCAGUCAGAUCUUUUACAGACAGCACACGGCAGUGGGACAGAGCUAAGGAAGUAGACUUGAUGUUCACUCUGAGAUUUACUCUUUGGUCAGUUGGACUUCCAGUGACUUUCCCAAACAAAAAGUUUUGGUUGAAGUUUCCCAAUGACAGAUUUUCUAUUACAGUUGGACACGGGCAGAGAAAGGUCUGGUGGAAAGAAGAACAUAUUCACCUUUUAAUAGUUCUCCUGUAGGUUAGGGUUAUUCUGAUACGUCACCGGUUGUUCAGGCAAAGAGAUACUGCUCUAUGACAAUUCAAUUAAAUAAACUUAAAGUGACAUUUUUAACCUUACAGGCAUCACCGCAGUACUGACACUGACAUUUACAAUCAACUAAAUUCAACACGAGUUUUCUCUCGUUGUUUUAUAAGAUACUGGAUUGUCAGAAUGUACUCUUCUGGAAUACGUUCAUAUGCACAUAUAACGGCCAUUUAAUCUCACAUACACACACAUACACGUACACAUAUACACACAACCUGGUUUCACAGUUUACUCUCCAAACAAUUCUGUGGAUCCAUUCUUCCAGUACGUUCUCUGAUCAUAUAAACACUUCACUGUUUUUUGUUCUCAUUACUGACUGUUUUUUUUUUUUUUUUAAAAAACAACAACUAUUUAUUGUCCACGCUCUUAAUUAGACCCUCACUCAGGUCAGAAUUUUUGUCCUUUUUGUUACUGACUGUCGCACUCCAGCCCUCAUGCUCCAUGUUCCAGGUUAUUCAUCACUACAGAUUACUUCAGCUGCUUUCACUGGUUCUAAGUUGCUCAGGAUAAAAGGAUCUGCUAAACACCUGCACAUAAAUGGUGAUGUAAAUCAUAUGAUAAUGAACUUCCUAAACUCUGUAUCCUGCUUUUGUCCUCCAGACCAGACUGGAUUUGUUUGUAGCAGUCAUGUGACCUGGCCACGCCUUCAAGAACUUCAAAAAGAGUUUCCAUGUGUCAGUGUUAAACGUCCCAUCAGAAGGAUUUCUUACAGAUUUCUUACAUAAUUCAUCGUGUUCCAGGUUUCACUUUAUUUUGGAAGAUGGAGCAGCGAAGUCUCCUGGAGAAUGAACUUCUUCUUCUUCUUCUGCAUUGUGAAAGUUGGAUGGAGUUCGGCAGGGCUGUAACCUGAGCUCAGGUAUGAAUAGUAAUCAGGUAAAAGCUCACACCUCAUUCAUAUUCAGUGAGGACGAGCGAUUGGUCCCGCCUUUACCUCUUCAUGUAGUGAAGAAGUGAGGACAUCACCACACUUUUAUCCAUUUAUUUCUACAUCUGACUGGUCACUACAAUAUUUUCAGAUGUUUCCAUGCCCAGCACCUCAGUGAAUCAGUUUAUGUAACAGAAUCAGUUUGUCCCUGAUGGAUAAGGUGUGUUUUUACAGGAUUUCUGCACACAGUCAUGACAACAGUUUACAAUCUCUGUGUUUUUAUACCAAAUUAAUAACCUG